Non-coding RNA from Camellia sinensis, 3492 nucleotides. The record is from RefSeq and is a predicted model, not a curated record. NCBI's taxonomy places the organism in Eukaryota, Viridiplantae, Streptophyta, Magnoliopsida, Ericales, Theaceae.
CCCUUAUUUUGAAUCCUCAUGCCUCUCUCUUGCUCACCCCCAAAUGUAUCUAUACCUUGAGAGCGAUUUUGAUUCAGAGCAAUUUUCUUUGAGAUUUAUACAGAUUCAUCAAAGUGAUUUCGAUUUGAAACUCUGAAGCUCCACUCUCUCUCUCUCUCUCUCUCUCUCUCUCUCGCGCGCGCGAUUCAUCCUUUGUUCUCUAUGAUAUCGAUCUGAAGCUCUGGGAGAUUGCGAAGAGAGAAGAGGGGUUGGUUUUGAUCGCAGAGGAAGUGAUCUCAAGAGAGGCUGUGCUUGAUUUCUCAGAUCGGUCUUUGAGCGAUUUCGAUUUUGAGAUUCAUCUCAGAGCAAUUUCGAUUUUGAAGUUCUCUCUCUCGAUUUCGAAGCUUCACCGUGUGUGGAUUCAGUUUCCUCUUGGGAUCAAUUUAUCUAAAUCUGAGUCAGGUUGCUAAAGCCACCCAAAAUUUUUCACCAUCAAUGAAGAUUGGUGAAGGAGGCUUUGGAACUGUCUACAAGGCCCUGUUACCAAGUGGUCAGGUAGUUGCCAUAAAACGAGCAAAGAAGGUAAGCUGCAGUUUCUUCUCAUGGCCUAGAAUUUACUGUUUCUGCCAUAUUAAUUUUGCUCACAAGAUAACAUUAAUUUCUUGCUACAUCUCUAGAAGGAGAUGUCGCAUUGUGGUUUUAUUUCACUAGGAACUGUCUCAGACCAGACAAAUCAAAAGUUUAAUUGAUCUUUGAAUUGGAGUUCAUGAUAGAUACGAAGUAGGAUGCGGCUGGAAUAAGUAAAACAAAGGGCUGAUAUAAUAUAGAGGGAUCAUGUGAGCAUUUUAGUUGAUCUUUGCAAAUCAAUAGCUUAGGACAAUCACCAUGUUAAAACGGUGCCACAUGCAUUCAUCUCAUGGAAAAUAUGCUAGUUAUAAAGCCAAUAUUUCUAGAGAAAAAUCUCUAGUUUCUGCAAUUAGCACCACUGGUGGUGCAACUAUGCACUCUCUAGCAGCACUACUGAUGCAGUUGAACCUGGAGUUGGUGGUGUUCCUAGUAGAUACCUUGGAACAACGCCUGCUUUUUUAUGGCAAACUCAGCUCCAACAAGCACCAAUAUCCAUGGUAUGAUUCUUUAUAUGGUGAUAGGAUAAAACAUGUUUUAGACAAAUUAUCACGUGUUUUUUUUUAAUAUAUAUAUAUAUAUAUAUAUAUUUAAUGCAAAAUGUAUGUGUUGUGGUUUAGAUUGUUGUUCACAGUUAUGAUCCAUAUUUAUAUCAAUUUUUAUUUCUCUCUUCUUGUUCUUAUGAGUAAACCCUUUAAUAAUUUUGAUAUAGAAGGCCAAAAAAAAAAAAAAUCUUAUAGUUUCCUUUUAAUUGUAGGGCAUGGCUGAGUACCAGAUGCCACUUUUCCGUGAAAUUGAUGGUUGUUUAAAAGCUAAAUGUGAUAGGUUAACAGAUGCCUUUGAAAUAGAUGAUAUUGGUUUGUCGUAAUUACUCUCUAUUCUCUCUGUGCACAGAUGAAGAGAUAUUGUGUGCAUAAUAUUACCCAUUGUUUGGUGUUGUAGACAUUUCAUCUGGUAAUCAAAGUUCAAGUGCUUGGCUUCCAAAAAGGUUUGUGUACUUGUUUCAUUUUGUCAUCAUUAAUGGUGCAAGGUCUGUUUGAAUGUCAAGGCUAUAAUGAUAUACUUUUUUUUGAUUGUUUGAAAUUUCAAUAUAAAGCGGUAUAGUCUAUAUACUUGUCAUGAUGGUACCAUGUUGUGUAUGCUUGUUGCCAUUUAGCUGAACGUGAUUUGAAGCUUUUAUAGAUUAGAUUGGGCAAAGAGACACUUAAAAAAAUUUAAGCUUUAAAGUUGUUUCUUCAUUUUUUUAUCCUUCUUUUACCUAUUAUUUUUUCUUUUUCAAGUUUUUCAUUUGAGUGGAGAGCAUUACAAAAAUUGUUCUUGAAUUUUAUUCACUCAGACCUUCUUGUUCUGGAAACGGUUACUGCUGCUUUUCCUUUUCUGUCAUUUCAGUUCAAAAUGGAUACUCAAAUAUAGAUUCAUGAGUCUCAAAUCUUACCCUUCAAGAUGGAAAAUAUUUUUUCCCCCUUUCUUAUUUUUCUUCUUAAAAACAUGAACUAUGAAAGCUUUCUUUAGAUGUCGAGGUGGUUAUUCUUUCUUGAAACUGUCUAUACCUACUUUUCCAAACUACCUAAAGCAACCAUAUAUCAAUUGCUUUGUGUGUACUUUAAUAGUCAGAAAUGACUUUCUGAGGAGUUCAUUUACCUGUAGCUUGUGUGCUUCUCUUUGAUCAUCUAAAUAGGGUAAAGGUAAUUAUUGAGAAGAUUGAGAGGGAAGAGGCAGCACUGAGGGAGGAUUUGUAUUCCGUGGACAGAAAUUUUGUAGAAUAUUACAAUGUAUGUGAAUAUGAGUUCUGAUGACUUGAACUUUAUCUUUUCUUUGAUCAAUGCCACCAAUUUACAUCUUUUGGAAGUGAACAUUAACAAUUUUGGCUGCAAGUUUCCAGAAUACAUCGGUAAUCUCUUGAGAAACCUUGAAUAUUUGAAUCUAGACCACAAUCAUAUAUUCAGAAGCAUUCCACCCGGGAUUGUAAAUCUUGUUGGCUUGCAGAGUUUGAAUAUGCAGCUUAACCAAUUCACUGGUUCUAUUCCAAGUGAGAUUGGAAAGCUUCAAAAUCUAUACAGAUUGAAUCUCGACAACAAUUCAUUGUCUGGUAACAUUCCCUCUUCCCUAGGAAAUCUGAGUUUGUUAAGUAUAUUUGCUUUAAGAAUCAAUAAUUUUCAUGGAAGCAUUCGUCUGAGCCUAGGGAAUCUGAGAAGUCUCUACUUUUGUAGUUUUGUUAUAAAAACAACAUAAUUCAAUGAUUUUAGUAUAUGGGAUACCUACAGAAGGUUAUUUUGUAUGUCACUUUUAGAAGGUUAUGCAACCAAACAUGGAUCUCAUCUAUGGAAGUUAAUGAUAUCAUUAACUUAUUAACUUCCAAAAAUGGAAUAUUUUCAAGACAUAACUCUGAUAUUGUAAAUGGAUCUCAUCUAUGUCUAGAUAGGCAAUACACUGAUAUGCAAGGGUCUAUGAUUAAAAGAUCAUGUCCCAGAAACUCUGAGUUGCCUUAUUUAAUGAUAAAAAUGAUUAUGCAACCAAACAUAGAAACCUUGAACAAUCCAAUUUUCAUUAAUAACUUGCUCCUACACUUUAGAGGAACUUGUUGAAGAAGUGCUGGUUUUCUUGGUGAAUAUUGGUGCAACAUUUGCAAUUUUUUUGAGAUGCCCCUGUUGAAGAAGUGUUGGUUUUCUUCCGGCUUUGCAUCAUUUAGAUGUUUUCUCAUAUACUUUGAUAUGCAGGUGGAGGCAAUCCAAGUUGAUGCUGAUGAAGGUGGAUUUACACAAACACGUGGUGGCAUAUAUUGGGUUUUGUUGGUGAGUUGCAUCCUGACAAGAAUAGUGAUAACAAGAAGCAUGUGCUUUACACACAAAAAAACAUUAUUGUUAAAUACAGCAAGGAUCAGGUCCUUUG